Long non-coding RNA from Pan troglodytes (chimpanzee), 1314 nucleotides. RefSeq lists it as uncharacterized. NCBI's taxonomy places the organism in Eukaryota, Metazoa, Chordata, Mammalia, Primates, Hominidae. The transcript has 3 exons. The record is from RefSeq and is a predicted model, not a curated record.
CUCUCUCGCACGCGGGGACUGAGCACGGCCCGGAAAGCCGAGGACAGCCGCACUCACCCUGUAGUUAUAGUAGUGCGUCUGCACAAGAUGCCGGUGGCGCGACUUGUGGUGGCCGAAGUUGGAUUUCUCGCAAACCAAGAUGGGGUCUUGCUAUGUUGCCUAGACUGGUCUCAAACUCCUGAGCUCAAGUGAUCCACCCACCUUGGCCUCCCAAAGUGCUGAGAUUAAAGGCUACCCAUGGGGACCUCAACAGCUUUGCCAUUGCACACUAUCUUUGCAGACAAGAUCUUAAUCACAUCCAACUUUCUGCAGUUGCACAGGGUACCUCAGACCCACAUCCCAGAUGACAUUCCUCAGAAGCUCGCAGCUGGAGAUGACAUCACCUUAGACAACAUCACCCUAGCCCAAGACAUCGCUAUUAGAGAUACAUCACCUGGACACUAAAGCCUCCACCCCAGUGACACUCUCAAGGUGCUGACAAAAUGGACAUGGACAUUUGUUGCUUUUCUUCUUUUGAAUUAGGAACUCUAUUGUGUUUCCUGAAUUUACUGUCUGCUUGGCCCGUGAUCCUGGUAUGUUCCUUGCUCUCUGCCAAAACAUGCACCCUCCCCUCCACACCUAAAGGAAAACCUGGUAGAAGCUACUACUCUCAAUGCCAUUCUAAAAUUGACGAAGAGUAUUAUUUUCCCCAAGAGGCAGCUGCUGCAGGCCAGUGAAUCCUUUGGACCCUGGGGAGAGGGUCAUACACUCCCUAGUGACUUCUACUCUACCCUCCAGCUUUCCGCCAGGACCUCCUGCCCUGUCCCCAACUGUAACCACCACAACCACCCCAUCCCGUUGGUUACACACAAAUAUCACCAGUCUUUACAUGUACUUUACUGACUUCUCAGAUCAUACCCUCCAACAAGAUAACUGCAGGACUUGCCACCAUGACCUGAGAAAUACACCAAGAUAUUAUUGUCCAAUUUUUUUGAGAUAUAUAUAUAUUUCUCAUACUUUUAACAUACUCUGCAAUCCACCAAGAUAUUGGUAGAGACCCUGGAAAUUUCAAAUCUAUUUCCUCUGCUAAUGCCAUGUGAAUAGGAAACUUAGAUACAGGCUGGCCUACAAGGACUCCUUAUACUUCAAUUUUUGUUCCUCCUUUCAACUCUCAUAAAAAAUAUUUUCUAUACUAUUUAGGGCAAAUGAUGGCCUUCUUUCUAAGUCUCAUCCAUCAUUGCUGCAAAGGUGCCUUAGUUUGAUGUUAAAGUGUCACAGGGCCAAUGUAUUGACCAUGUUUCUGGCGUCUAUAAAGUCAAUGUUUUAAUAUCUGUC